RNAcentral lists this ribosomal RNA (405 nucleotides) under uncultured bacterium. RNAcentral's name for it is "bacterial SSU rRNA". It matches the Rfam family "Bacterial small subunit ribosomal RNA", at positions 917 to 1322 of the family's 1533-position model. The record is from RNAcentral.
GGGCCCGCACAAGCGGUGGAGCAUGUGGUUUAAUUCGAUGCAACGCGAAGAACCUUACCUGCCCUUGACAUACAGCGAACCCUGAAGAGAUUCGGGGUGCCGAAAGGAGCGCUGAUACAGGUGCUGCAUGGCUGUCGUCAGCUCGUGUCGUGAGAUGUUGGGUUAAGUCCCGUAACGAGCGCAACCCUUAUUCUUAGUUACCAUCGGGUAAAGCCGGGCACAUUAAGAAGACUGCCGGUGACAAACCGGAGGAAGGCGGGGACGACGUCAAGUCAUCAUGGCCCUUAUGGGCAGGGCUACACACGUGCUACAAUGGUUGGUACAGAGAGAAGCGAAGCGGUAACGUGGUGCAAAUCUCAGAAAGCCAAUCGUAGUCCGGAUUGAGGUCUGCAACUCGACCUCAUG